RNAcentral lists this ribosomal RNA (465 nucleotides) under uncultured bacterium. RNAcentral's name for it is "partial 16S ribosomal RNA". It matches the Rfam family "Bacterial small subunit ribosomal RNA", at positions 338 to 795 of the family's 1533-position model. The record is from RNAcentral.
CCUACGGGAGGCAGCAGUAGGGAAUCUUCCACAAUGGGCGAAAGCCUGAUGGAGCAACGCCGCGUGGGUGAAGAAGGUCUUCGGAUCGUAAAACCCUGUUGUUAGAGAAGAAAGUGCGUGAGAGUAACUGUUCACGUUUCGACGGUAUCUAACCAGAAAGCCACGGCUAACUACGUGCCAGCAGCCGCGGUAAUACGUAGGUGGCAAGCGUUAUCCGGAUUUAUUGGGCGUAAAGGGAACGCAGGUGGUCUUUUAAGUCUGAUGUGAAAGCCUUCGGCUUAACCGGAGUAGUGCAUUGGAAACUGGGAGACUUGAGUGCAGAAGAGGAGAGUGGAACUCCAUGUGUAGCGGUGAAAUGCGGAGAUAUAUGGAAGAACACCAGUGGCGAAAGCGGCUCUCUGGACUGUAACUGACGCUGAGGUUCGAAAGCGUGGGUAGCAAACAGGAUUAGAUACCCUAGUAGUC